Molecule: long non-coding RNA, 2512 nt
Organism: Ooceraea biroi (clonal raider ant)
Lineage: Eukaryota; Metazoa; Arthropoda; Insecta; Hymenoptera; Formicidae
Source: RefSeq, a predicted model, not a curated record
AAAAAAUGGAACCUCACAGAAAAAUCUCACCUGAGAAUUCCCGAGAAGAUUAUAGUGUGUCGGAUAGUCGUGUGUGUGUGUGUGUGUGUGCACGCGCAACCGACUCUUAUCAAUCGUGUAUGAGGACACGGCGUUUUUCUCGCUGGGAGUCCUUGGAAGAGAGAGGCGUAUAAGGCGCGCACGGUGAUGCUGCAACGUCAAUAGCUUCUCCGUUUCGUAAAACUCCGUUACCGAUAAGUGUCGAGCGCGCGAUUAGAUCGCUCUUGUUUGCUUCUCUGAGUCCUCGCCCAUGUUUGUACGAUGAUGUCAUCGGUUGGUCCAUCCGGUGCGGAUUAGGUCAAAGUCUCGCGCUCCCGAUAAAAAUCAUGUCCGCAGCCAGCGAUCGUUUUCGUCUGGCCGGAUCGAUUUAUAUCUCAGCUAACACGGCAGAAACAACGCCGAUAGCGCAGGUAAUUAGUCGCGGUGGUCCAUGUGGUCCAGAUUAGAUUACGGUCGCAAUCGUGCCAUCUAGCAACGCGGCUUUUGAUCGACUUGCGCAAACGUCGCGCGAGAGAAAUACCAUUAACGGCCUAUUUUUUUCGACAUUAGUUGCUCAAUGAUGCACCUGCGGAGAAGCUGUCCAUCGUCUGAACAUGUUGUUUACGAUGAUAGAGCUUUGUCCUUCGUAUGAUACGUGUGAAGCAUCAUUUCAUGAAGGAUGUAAAUUUCUAAUUAUGUCUGGAAUUAAUUAUUUUGCAAAUACUACCUGUUGCAUCUGUUGCGAACUUGUUGAAAAUACGUGAGAUCAUAACGUGAUAAAAGAUGGAUAAAAGUGAAGAAAUAUAGCUGGAUAUCAACUUGGACAAAAUUGCGUCUUAUGCGAGAGCUGGGAAGUAUCCUCAUAUCUCACUUCGAGAUAAUGCUGUAUCUCACUAUCUCGCGAUCGCUCGAAAGGGAUAGUCACAUUCUUCCUAUCAGAGAUUCGAUGAAUUAGAUUAAAUCACGGUACUUUCCGUAAGUCACGAGUUAAAUUUUUCAACUGCGUAUUUGGAUUGUGUACAGUCAAUUGUUGCUAGCAUGAUAUUUAUAGGUACUUAAUUUUUUAAAAUUUUCAUUGUAUUAUAAUCUUCUCAAAUUUCUUAUCGACAAAUUUAUGUUUAAAAGAUCAAUUUGGCACAUUAUAAAAUGUUUUACACAAGUAAUAAAAGUACGAGGGACGAAAAGGGAGAGUCGGAGAGAGGAAGAAGGGAGGGAAAGAAACCCUCUUACGAAAUCUUCGCGUUGUCACGUCGUUAUAGAAAUUUCAAGUUUACCUUCACGGACCGGAAAAGCAACACCAUCGCGGCGCAGAUGGCGUGAAAACAACAGCGAGAUGACGGUUCACACAUGAUACGCAUCCGUAUGUAGACCUCUCUCUCGAGUCUCCUGAAAAAUUCGAUCAAGCAGAUGCUACCGGUCAGGAAAGAGAGAGACAUCAACUUUUAUUCAGCUUUUUUUCCUUGCUCAGCGCGAGACACUUCGGCAUGAGAGACCCAUUUACAGUCGUCGCAUAUCUGAGAAAAGUCAUGAUGGUAGUGUUAGUGGUAGUGAUGUUACAUACAGGUUUGCGCGCUCAUGUAGAUACGCGUGGAUAAAGGUGUACGAGGAAAGGAAGCUACGAAAGUUGCAUACGAAAGGGACUCGACUAAUCCACGUGGACGGUCGCAAGCGUAUCAGUUCGCUUCGAAUGUAGGUCAUCCGUUAGAAUAUGACCGGCAAUUGGAAGUACUGUUUUAAAGACUACUGCGACAGCGCAGGCAACAAUAGAGGCAUCGUCUUACUGGGAUAUUAAGAUUUAUCCUCUAUCUUCAUUGGUACAUAUUAAUCAAGUGUCAGAAAGGAGCGAGCUAUACCCUAGCGUGCGACUAUGAGUAAUAAUCAAAAUUAAAUCGAAAUUAAAUGCAAGUUAGUUUAGUCAACUUAAAGCAGCAUAAUUUUUCAAAAUUAUUAAUAAUACAUAAAUUUACAUAUCUGCGUCAAUGAUAAGAAUAGUUAUGCUCAUGAAUCAGGAAUACAGAUUUAUAACUUCUAUAUAAUGGAAUUAUAUAUAUUUUUUAUAUAUUAAUUAUCCAGUAAAAUAAAAAUAUUUUAAAAAUGCAUCAAUAUCAUAUUAAUUUUUUUACACUUCUGUACAGAUGAGAAUUUUACAGACUCUCUUGCAAGUGCAUUUCGUGCUUACAAUAUUAUCUAUAAGUGUUCUUGCGAAAUGAUGAGUCUUGUCAUAAGAACCAAACACUGAUGUCACGCAGGAUCAACAUUUGAAAGAUUGCAUAAAGGUGAUGCAUCUAUUAUACACCCUAAUUACAGCAAGUCGAUCGUUUUUAUACGGCAAUUUCUUACGCAUAGUUCAUUAUCGAAUUAAUCCAGGUUUGUAAGAUAACCGAUCACGGAGCGAAUCGACUUUGUGUACGUCUCGUGUACGUGCAUGCGAUCCUACCAAUGCGUAACAGAUGUCUAUCCGACUUGUGUAAAUAUAAAGUACCUGCCCAGCUUA